UACGUAGGGUGCAAGCGUUAAUCGGAAUUACUGGGCGUAAAGCGUGCGCAGGCGGUCUUGCAAGACAGAUGUGAAAUCCCCGGGCUCAACCUGGGAACUGCAUUUGUGACUGCAAGGCUAGAGUACGGUAGAGGGGGAUGGAAUUCCGCGUGUAGCGGUGAAAUGCGUAGAUAUGCGGAGGAACACCGAUGGCGAAGGCAACCCCCUGGACCUGGACUGACGCUCAGGUGCGAAAGCGUGGGGAGCAAACAGG
Molecule: ribosomal RNA, 253 nt
Filed under: uncultured bacterium
Lineage: Bacteria
Description: partial 16S ribosomal RNA
Rfam family: Bacterial small subunit ribosomal RNA
Source: RNAcentral